UACGUAGGGUGCAAGCGUUGUCCGGAAUUAUUGGGCGUAAAGAGCUCGUAGGCGGUUUGUUGCGUCGGCUGUGAAAUCCCGAGGCUCAACCUCGGGUCUGCAGUCGAUACGAGCAAACUAGAGUGUUGCAGGGGAGACUGGAAUUCCCGGUGUAGUGGUGAUAUGCGUAGAUAUCGGGAGGAACACCUGUGGCGAAGGCGGCUUUCUGGGCCUUACCUGACGCUGAGACGCGAAAGCUAGGGGAGCAAACAGG
This 253-nucleotide ribosomal RNA is filed under the name uncultured bacterium. RNAcentral's name for it is "partial 16S ribosomal RNA". It matches the Rfam family "Bacterial small subunit ribosomal RNA", at positions 524 to 776 of the family's 1533-position model. The record is from RNAcentral.